Molecule: long non-coding RNA, 611 nt
Organism: Myiozetetes cayanensis
Lineage: Eukaryota; Metazoa; Chordata; Aves; Passeriformes; Tyrannidae
Exons: 4
Source: RefSeq, a predicted model, not a curated record
CACCUAAGAGAGAGAGGCUUUGUAGAAAAUUUUAUUGUCAGGUAUCUGUUACUAAGUCAAGCCUCUGAAGAAUAGCAUGAAGUAAUCCAAACAGAGACCUCAUAAAACUUUUUACAUCUAUCCUAACGAACCCUGAUUAGGAACCUGUGCAGUGAUGUUAUCCUGAUUGGUGGGAAAUUGGUGAAGGAAAUAACCAAUUUUCAAUCAACGUAAUUGGUUGUUCAGGAGAUUUGAGAUCUUGAGAAAAAACGUUGCAUCUUCUGCAGCUGUGUGAUUUUUCUGGGAUGGCAAAUAAAUUGCUGGCUCGGCACUUCUCCAGCUACAAGGGGGGUUUCACAGAAGAGGAUUGGCUAAAUUGCCAGAAAUGAGUUUACAACCAAGACUGUUACAGGUGAAAGAAAAGAGCUUCACUUUCCCCGCCAGAGGAUAGUUGGAUGCUCAACACCACUACGGCACCCAACAAAAGGAAUUUCAUGAGCCAGCCUUCAGAAAACAAAGAAGAAACCAAGAGGAAAUCCUACCUCAUGAAUCCAUAGAGCCUAGAAUUGCUUGACCGUGCUCCCAGAGUGGUAUGGCUCAGGCAUCACUGUCUGGUGGGUGCUCACUGCAGA